CGAGUCGGACGGGUGACGGCUCCGUGGUUUCGACCUCGGGGAGGAAAGUCCGGACUUCAUAGGGCACGGCGCCCGGCGCAAGCCGGGGCGGGGUAACCCGACGGAAAGUGCAACAGAAACAAACCGCCUCAGUUGGGAUGCGGGGACAGAGGUUCCAACCUCUGCGUCUCGCCUCCCAACGCGGGUAAGGGUGAAAUAGUGAGGUAAGAGCUCACUGGUGGUCCGGGUAACCGGCCACCGGGCAAACCCCACCGGAAGCAAGGCCAAAUAGGGACGGGUUGAUGUGGCCCGCGGACCGUCCGGGUUGGCCGCGUAGAUAAAUCGUCACACAAACACAGAAUCCGGCUUACAGACCGACUCGCAGU
RNAcentral lists this RNase P RNA (365 nucleotides) under Armatimonadetes bacterium 55-13. RNAcentral's name for it is "RNase P RNA component class A". It matches the Rfam family "Bacterial RNase P class A". From Rfam's summary of the family: Ribonuclease P (RNase P) is a ubiquitous endoribonuclease, found in archaea, bacteria and eukarya as well as chloroplasts and mitochondria. Its best characterised activity is the generation of mature 5'-ends of tRNAs by cleaving the 5'-leader elements of precursor-tRNAs. The record is from RNAcentral. Lineage: Bacteria; Bacillati; Armatimonadota. RNAcentral also lists the same sequence under 1 other name.